This 384-nucleotide ribosomal RNA is filed under the name uncultured bacterium. RNAcentral describes it as "bacterial SSU rRNA". It matches the Rfam family "Bacterial small subunit ribosomal RNA", at positions 29 to 440 of the family's 1533-position model. The record is from RNAcentral.
AGCGAACGCUGGCGGCAGGCUUAACACAUGCAAGUCGAACGCUCGUAGCAAUACGAGAGUGGCAGACGGGAGAGUAACACGUGGGAACGUGCCCUUUGGUUCGGAACAACCCAGGGAAACUUGGGCUAAUACCGGAUAAGUCCGUAAGGAGAAAGAUUUAUCGCCAAAGGAUCGGCCCGCGUCUGAUUAGCUAGUUGGUGAGGUAACGGCUCACCAAGGCGACGAUCAGUAGCUGGCUGAGAGGAUGAUCAGCCUCAUUGGGACUGAGACACGGCCCAAACUCCUACGGGAGGCAGCAGUGGGGAAUCUUGGACAAUGGCGCAAGCCUGAUCCAGCCAUGCCGCGUGGGUGAUGAAGGCCCUAGGGUUGUAAAGCCCUUUCGGC